GACGAACGCUGGCGGCGUGCUUAACACAUGCAAGUCGAACGGUGAAGGGACCAGCUUGCUGGUUCUGGAUGAGUGGCGAACGGGUGAGUAACACGUGAGUAACCUGCCCCCUUCUUCUGGAUAACCGCAUGAAAGUGUGGCUAGUACGGGAUAUUCUGGGUCUGUCGCAUGGCGGGCCCGGGAAAGAUAUUGCUUCGGUGGGGGAUGGGCUCGCGGCCUAUCAGCUUGUUGGUGGGGUGAUGGCCUACCAAGGCGGUGACGGGUAGCCGGCCUGAGAGGGUGGACGGUCACACUGGGACUGAGACACGGCCCAGACUCCUACGGGAGGCAGCAGUGGGGAAUAUUGCACAAUGGGCGCAAGCCUGAUGCAGCGACGCCGCGUGAGGGAUGGAGGCCUUCGGGUUGUAAACCUCUUUCGCCAGUGAAGCAGGCCUGCUCCUUGUGGGUGGGUUGACGGUAGCUGGAGAAGAAGCGCCGGCUAACUACGUG
RNAcentral lists this ribosomal RNA (489 nucleotides) under uncultured bacterium. RNAcentral's name for it is "partial 16S ribosomal RNA". It matches the Rfam family "Bacterial small subunit ribosomal RNA", at positions 28 to 507 of the family's 1533-position model. The record is from RNAcentral.